AUGAGAUCUGUGGAAGGAGAGCACUUGAGGGAGAUCGGAGGGAUUUCUUAGGUUUCAAGACCCUCGAUGGCCAGCAGCAGGGCCACCACCUCACUCAUUGUGGCUGCUUCUUCGGCUUGAGAUGGCGGCAGGCUAGGCCCAACUUGAGCACCAACUUCGAUGAGGGUGUAGUUGUCCGACGGUGACUGGGGGUGGUGGUGUCGGCGGACGGUCUUAAUGAUGAGAGUAAUAAAUCCGAUGAGGCCGGCAAUGAUGAUGAUGGAGCCUACCGUC
RNAcentral lists this long non-coding RNA (273 nucleotides) under Elaeis guineensis (African oil palm). RNAcentral's name for it is "long non-coding RNA (EGUI_LNC012288)". The record is from RNAcentral. Lineage: Eukaryota; Viridiplantae; Streptophyta; Magnoliopsida; Arecales; Arecaceae.